AAAGUAAUAGUUAAAAAAUAACAGUAGCUUGUCAUGUUACAAUUACCAAUAAUAAUUGGUUUACUUUA
This 68-nucleotide transfer RNA is filed under the name unidentified. Its description in RNAcentral is "Discoporella cookae tRNA-Asp". The record is from RNAcentral.